This 71-nucleotide transfer RNA is filed under the name Loxodonta africana (African savanna elephant). It matches the Rfam family "tRNA". From Rfam's summary of the family: Transfer RNA (tRNA) molecules are approximately 80 nucleotides in length. Their secondary structure includes four short double-helical elements and three loops (D, anti-codon, and T loops). Further hydrogen bonds mediate the characteristic L-shaped molecular structure. tRNAs have two regions of fundamental functional importance: the anti-codon, which is responsible for specific mRNA codon recognition, and the 3' end, to which the tRNAs corresponding amino acid is attached (by aminoacyl-tRNA synthetases). tRNAs cope with the degeneracy of the genetic code in two manners: having more than one tRNA (with a specific anti-codon) for a particular amino acid; and 'wobble' base-pairing, i.e. permitting non-standard base-pairing at the 3rd anti-codon position. Lineage: Eukaryota; Metazoa; Chordata; Mammalia; Proboscidea; Elephantidae. The record is from Rfam by way of RNAcentral.
ACAGUGGUUGUUUGGUGGUAGAAUUCUCGUCUUCCAUGCAGGAGACCCGGGUUCGAUUCCCAGCCAAUGUA